UACACGCUGUGACUAGCAUAUCAAUAAGCGGAGGAAAAGAAACUAACAAGGAUUCCCCUAGUAACGGCGAGUGAAGCGGGAAGAGCUCAAAUUUGAAAUCUUAAAGGGUUUCCCUUUACGAAUUGUAGUUUAAAGAAGUGUUUUCUGUUGAGGUUUUGGUAAAAGUUCUUUGGAAUAGGACAUCAUAGAGGGUGAGAAUCCCAUAUUUGACCUUUACUUUCAACUUUGUGAUACACUUUCAAAGAGUCGGAUUGUUUGGGAAUGCAGUCCAAAAUGGGUGGUAAAUUUCAUCUAAAGCUAAAUAUUGGCGAGAGACCGAUAGCGAACAAGUACCGUGAGGGAAAGAUGAAAAGAACUUUGAAAAGAGAGUUAAACAGUACGUGAAAUUGUCAAAAGGGAAGCGUUUGACACCAGUGUUGUUUUUCUGAAAAUCAAUUAAAGAACUGUUUAUGCUAAGUUGUUUAGACUUUAUCAGCUAACUGUUUAGUUUUGAGCUUUUCUUUAAUGCACUUUUCAGUUAACAAGUCAACAUCAAUUUCUUUUGCUGUAAAAAAGCUUGAGGAAGGUGGCUUGAGAUUCGUCUUAAGUGUUUAUAGCCUCUUGCCUAUGCAGUCGGAGAGAUUGAGGUCUGCAGCGUAGAUCCUUCGGGGCUAAAUGCAUUUGUGCUAAGUUAUAGCAUUUUAUAGACAACUUGUUGACUAUGAUUUGUCUUGUAGCUUACUCGCUUAUGUUAUUUUACCUACGCUUAGGAUGUUGAAGAUGUAGCACAUCAU
This 773-nucleotide ribosomal RNA is filed under the name uncultured Neocallimastigales. RNAcentral describes it as "partial large subunit ribosomal RNA". It matches the Rfam family "Eukaryotic large subunit ribosomal RNA", at positions 22 to 635 of the family's 3401-position model. The record is from RNAcentral. Lineage: Eukaryota; Fungi; Neocallimastigomycota; Neocallimastigomycetes; Neocallimastigales.